Molecule: ribosomal RNA, 253 nt
Filed under: uncultured bacterium
Lineage: Bacteria
Description: partial 16S ribosomal RNA
Rfam family: Bacterial small subunit ribosomal RNA
Source: RNAcentral
UUCAGAGGUCUCAAGCGUUAAUCGGAGUCACUAGGCUUAAAGGGUGCGUAGGCGGACCCGCAAGUGCUUUGUGAAAUCCGAUGGCUCAACCAUGGAAUGGCUUGGCAUACUGCGGGUCUUGAGGUCGGUAGGGGCAGCCGGAACUCUAGGUGGAGCGGUGAAAUGCGUAGAUAUCUAGAGGAACGCCGAAGGUGAAGACAGGCUGCUGGGCCGAUUCUGACGCUGAGGCACGAAAGCGUGGGGAGCAAACGGG